This 475-nucleotide ribosomal RNA is filed under the name uncultured bacterium. Its description in RNAcentral is "SSU rRNA". It matches the Rfam family "Bacterial small subunit ribosomal RNA", at positions 26 to 518 of the family's 1533-position model. The record is from RNAcentral.
AGAAUCAACGCUGGCGGCGUGCCUAACACAUGCAAGUCGAACGAGAAAGGGGAGCAAUCCCUGAGUAAAGUGGCGACCGGGUGAGUAACACGUGACUAACCUACCCUCGAGUGUGGAAUAACAUCGGGAAACCGAUGCUAAUACCGCAUAACAUCGGCGCUUUUAAGAGAUGCCGAUCAAAGGAGCAAUCCGCUUGAGGAGGGGGUCGCGGCUGAUUAGCUAGUUGGCGGGGUAACGGCCCACCAAGGCGAAGAUCGGUAGCCGGCCUGAGAGGGCGCACGGCCACACUGGAACUGAAACACGGUCCAGACUCCUACGGGAGGCAGCAGUGGGGAAUUUUGCGCAAUGGGGGAAACCCUGACGCAGCAACGCCGCGUGGAGGAUGAAGCCCCUUGGGGCGUAAACUCCUUUCGACCAAGACGAUAAUGACGGUACUGGUGGAAGAAGCACCGGCUAACUCUGUGCCAGCAGCCGC